CCUACGGGAGGCAGCAGUGGGGAAUAUUGGGCAAUGGGCGCAAGCCUGACCCAGCAACGCCGCGUGAAGGAAGAAGGCUUUCGGGUUGUAAACUUCUUUUCUCAGGGACGAAGAAAGUGACGGUACCUGAGGAAUAAGCCACGGCUAACUACGUGCCAGCAGCCGCGGUAAUACGUAGGUGGCAAGCGUUAUCCGGAUUUAUUGGGUGUAAAGGGCGUGUAGGCGGGAGCGCAAGUCAGAUGUGAAAACUCAGGGCUCAACCCUGAGCCUGCAUUUGAAACUGUGUUUCUUGAGUGCUUGAGAGGCAAGCGGAAUGCCGGGUGUAGCGGUGAAAUGCGUAGAUAUACGGAGGAACACCAGUGGCGAAGGCGGAUUGCUGGACAGUAACUGACGCUGAGGCGCGAAAGCGUGGGGAGCAAACAGGAUUAGAUACCCUUGUAGUC
RNAcentral lists this ribosomal RNA (443 nucleotides) under uncultured bacterium. Its description in RNAcentral is "partial 16S ribosomal RNA". It matches the Rfam family "Bacterial small subunit ribosomal RNA", at positions 338 to 795 of the family's 1533-position model. The record is from RNAcentral.